UGCUUGUACUGAUGGCCUUUGUUUGCUUCUGGGCUCCUGUUCUCUCCUGAGCUGUUCUCCACAGAUGGCAAAAGCAGCAGUCAGAAUUCCCCUCAGGAGCCAUGACAAAUACCCUUCCACAACAGGACUUGAGAGCCAGUUUCAGAAGAAAGCUGUAAGGCACUGGAUAACUUGUCCUAAAACUGCUCUCUGGCAGAUUUGGUUUUGACCCUGUUCAGGACCUGCAGACUACUCUGAACUUUAGAGGGCAUCUCUUUGGUGCUUUGUGCCACACAAGCAAGAUUGCUUUAGUUUAUUAUUAUUAUUAUUAUGCAGUUUAUUGGAAUGCUUUUUUGGAAGUGUUUCCAAGUUCCUCUACCUCUUUUCCAGGAAAGAAGUGUGUGAAUGUAUUUGAAGUUCCUUUCCCAAGUAAGCUCUAGGUCAGUCUUUGUUACCAGUCAUGGAGGUUCUUUCUCUCUACUCUGCCCUGGUAAGGCCCCACCUAGAAUACUGCAUCCAGUUCUGGGCUCCCCAGUUUAAGACUGAUAGAAAUCUACUUGAGAGUCCAACAAAGGGCUACAAGAAUAACUAAGAGACUGGAUCACUGCCUGAAUGAGGAAGGGCAGAGAGACCCAAGGCUGUUUUAGUCUGGGGAGAAGAGGACUGAGAGGGGAUCUAGCAAAUAUAAGUAUCUGUAGGCUGGGGGUCAGGAAGGAAGGAGCAACGAUAGCCUCUGCUCACUUGUGCCCUGGGAUAAGGGAUAUAAACUACAGCACAGGAAGUUCCACCUCAACAGAGAGGUUGUGGAGUCUCCUCCUUUCCAGAAUUAUCUGGAUGUGUUCAUGUGCAACCUGUGCAAGAUUCUAUGGCCCUGCUCUGGCAGGGGAGUGUGACUGUCUCCAGAAGUCUCUUCCAAUCCCUGUGAUCCUGUGAUCUCCUGCUUACAUACCUUGGAGCCUGGACAGUUUCCUCAGAGGCACUUCUGCCUUCAAAAAAGGGAACUAGUGGAAGUCCUGGGUUUUGAAGAUGUGCAGCAGUACCAGGUGCAGAGGAACAGGCCAAUGGAUUUCUCAUUCUCAGUGAAGGACAGGUUGGUUUUGUAGCUUACAAGCCAGCCCUCACCUUGGUGAGGGGCAGGUUGGAGUCAUCCAGGAGCUUGUGGCUAGAAUGUUGUUCCUUCCUAGUGGUAGAAUGCUGGGAAGCUGUAAUUGGGCUGCUCAGUCUGAUCAGUAGUGAGAAGCUCGCAUGAAGCAGGCCUGGUGUUUGAGAGAGCAACAUGGUUUGUGUAUCCAGCCACCUGCUACACAUCUGGAACUGCUCUGGCCACAGCUUUUGGGUUGUGCUAUAGCCAAAUGAAGACUGGCUUGCUUGGGAUGCUGCAAACAAGAAGGUACUGAACUGACUGCAUGUGUGAAAGCGAAGUAGGGCUUUAGCCAUGCUCCUGUCUUGCUGGCACAGGCACAUGCAUGUGACUCAGCUGGAGUGCUGGUGAGUGCCACUGGAAGCCACUUGUUUGCCACUGUUAAGUUAGUCACAAGUGCUUUCGCUUGCUGUAAUGCAGCUCACUGACCUUCUGGAGCUCUUCUGUAUCACAAAACCAGCAAGGCUAAAGGGAUGGUUGAGAAAGUCCCAUAGUAGUUGUUUUGAGUCUAUGGGCAAUCUACUGCAGGCUUUGAAGGAUGCAUACACAGAUACAGCCUAGCUCUGAACAAGGCACUGGACUGCUUCAGGACCCUGCCUGCAGAAAAGGGACUGCUAACGAACUUGUGCUGUCUUUUGCUUGCAGCUGUAGGAAUCCCUUGCAGCCAGCAGAUGUUCAGACCAUGGCUUUGGUCGUUACUCCAGAACUACCCUGGUUUAAGAGAAGAAUUUGUGCUCCAAAAGAGUUGAAAGCUGUGGAUGGCAGAAAGAGGAAAUGGAAAGACCAAAACCAUUUUGUUGAAUAGACUCAAACCAAGAAGCUGCAAGAAAAGAAACUGCCAGACUGCCACUUAAAGCACUUGACUGCACAGGUCCUAGGGGACAUGUCAUGCUGGUCCUUGCAUGAUCACUAACCUGAUGAAUAGUUACUAUCCAGCAUUUGGUCGUGCAGGGCUUCAGGAAGUGCAGACCCAGGUGUCCUCUGGUGGUUUAAAAGCAGAGCUGUUUAGAAACAAGGCUAAAAGGUGUGAAUCAACAGCCAAGAUGCCCUGGUGACCUGCAGGAUUGUAGAAACCUCAACAGAAGUCUGUACCAGGCCGCUGAGUUGUGCUGGAAAUUGUGGCAGCAGGUCUGUUGGACUUGGACAGCAGCUCUGCUAGGGGUCAAAAAUCUCCUCCACCUCCAGAACAGGAGAACCUUUGCCUGCUGCUGUUGCAGCUGGAAUGUAAAGAGAACACUGGACAAGUGCAUCAGCUGAACAAAAAUCCACAUGACUUUGGCACUGCAUAUCAGCAUCAGCUAUCAAUGCCUAAAGCUUCAACAACUCUACUUGAAAGGCUCUCUUUCUGCUAGGGUCUCCUGCCCAGAACCACCACAGGACUAGUGCUGAAGAUGCUCAAACUCAACUGGAAAGCACACUGGCAACCCCAGGCCUAGCAAACCUCUGCAAGAAGAAAGUGAAGCUGGAGAACUUCUGAAACAGGCGAGCGACGGGGAUGACAACACAAGAGCUUCUGCUGUACUGUCCUCCAGAGGAGAUGGGCUUUGGGAGACGGAUAGUGCUUCCUGAAGGAGUUCAAUGGCUUCCCUGUGAUCCAUCUGUCUCAAAGCAGCCAUCAGCUCUACAACUGUGCCACCAGAAACCUAAGAGAGAAGACGGCAGAUGCUCGCCAUCAUCCACGUGCACUAACCAACAGGUAAAAGCCUGUCACGCUCUGCAGGAGGACAACAUUUCCUGUGUGUCUGAGUGGUCUUUAUAACCUGUUCCUGCCACAUUACCUCGUAGUUGUCUAGCAGGGUCUUCGACGGGGAAGGGCUCAAGCUGAAGGCAUUAUUCAGUAUGCCAAGACCCAGCUUUUGUGCUAGAAUGGACCAGUUUUUGCUUGGAUCGGGCAACUCCAACAGUUUGUAAAGCUGCAUCUUGUAACUUUCGUUCAGAUCUUUCAAGUGUCCUGGGGAACAGAGACUUGUUAGCUUCUUACUUAUCCAAAUCAUGCACCAGUUAAGUUCUGAGCAGAAACAAAGCCAAACAAGCAUUAAUUUAGUGUCCAUCAGUGCCAGUGCUUACUGCUGUAGUGCUGCAGUAUUGAAAAUGGACUCUUCUGUGUCACUCUGACCCAUCUCUUACCAGGAUCCUGCUCAUUCUGCGAGUGAGUGGGAGGGAGGGAGCCUCUUCUCCCUCCUCAAUUCAGUAACCAAGCUAUUACAGGGCCAUGUCCUCUGCAAGUACACUUUCAGUACUCAGCUACGAGAGGGGUACUGUCAAGUCUUUGGAGAUAUUACCUUGUGUCAGUAAGUCCUCUGAAACCACUGCUGACUCGUAGGGUUUGCCAUUGAGUAUGUCAUACACCUAAAAGAAUACAUUAAGGUCAGUAGUUAGCAGUGUUUGGUUUCGUGACAAGUCUCAGUCGUGUAUAAAACCUCAGUUCCAUCUCAAAGGAGACAGGACCAGCACGACUAAAGAUACUGUAGACUUGUGCAAAGCUCAAAGGAGAAAUCUUGGAAGUUAAUCUUCCUUGUCCUGUAGCAGUGGCUAAGUGAUACUGUCUGUCUCCAGAUGGUGAUCUGAAACAAAAUGUGGGAUAGAUUUUCACCAGUCUGGUGCUGCUCCAUGUGGUUGGAGAUGCUGAGUGCUUGUACCAUACAUUCACAUCAGCAGCAGCUAGUGCAACCUAACCCCUGUUUCUGUAGGCCACAAGAGCGUAUCUUCCCUGUACUAAAAAUCUGCAGUUCUGAAGAAGAUGCAGUAAAGAAACCACUAGGGAGUGUCUCUGAGCAUGUGCCUUCCAUUGCGAGCUGUCCAGCCACCUCCCAUGCUUUUCCAGACUGACCCCUCUUUCAAGAUGGGCCUGGUCAGUCCAGUUCAGCAGAAGCAGAAUGCUAAGUGAAGCUUUCUUCCUGUGCUGUUUUCUGAGGGCUUUCUGUGGCUGAAUGAGUUUAAUUUUUGACAGCCAAUGGGUAACUUUCCAGCAGUGAUAACUGGAUGCAGUGAAGGAAACUGGCUGGAAUAUCAUGUACUACUAAAAUCAUGAAACUAAAAACCCUACUACGUACUUCACAGUUGGCUGCCAUAUCCAGGGGGGUUGUUCCAGGCACAAUCCCUUCAUCGUCAUCUUUCACAUCAUCUAGAUCAAACAAUGGCUCAAAGUUCUCAAGGUGAGGAUUUGCACCUAGGAAACAAGUAUGCAGAAACAUUUGUAAGGAAAGGCUGCAAGUUGCUUCUUGCAGUAUUUAAGUUUUGCAUAGCAAAUCUUCUAAUUCAGCUGCUCAAACAAAAUUACACCUCACAUUGAUGGUUGUGUCAGCAAACAAUGUCUUCUUUUUAUAAAAUCAAUGAAAGUUAAACACUGUCUCCUCUCUGCAUAAAGAGGGAAAGAAGGGGAAGGUGAGAGCUAGGGCCUAGACAGUGAGCUAUGACUGCAUGAACUGCCUUCAGUCCUGUUCUGGGGCUCUCACCUGGCCUAGCUGCUGAAGUAAGGGAUGGGGGGUGCCUCUUUUUAUAUUGUCAGAGCAAGUGAGGAUGUGAUUAAAAGACCAAACACAGCACCAGAGGAAUGGGAGGUUUGGAUUUCUGUUUCAAACGAGGAAAAAAAACAGAUUAAAUACAUUGACAAAAUGUUCUCAAAUAUUCAAAACUGAUUCUUCCACGAUAGGAAAGAGGAGGCAUUAACAAACUCCUCUUUCAGUGACCUUUAAAAGCAGAAAAAAAAACCAGAAGUCAACACUUAUCCCAACUAUGUAACAAGGUCUCCUCUCUCCUGCUUCGACUACAAAAAAGCUAUACAAAAGAAAUAUUCAAAAAACUUCCAAGUGUGCUCAAAAGAGUUUUUUUCCCUUGAGUAACAAUGUGCUGAUGUAGCCAGCAGAUGGUGCUACAGAGCACCGCAGGAGGACGUGCCUUAGCACAAACACACCAAGCUCUUAACAGCUGACUUCUGCUCCCCACGCAAGGGCACAGGCACCUUCUCUACCUACGUUAGCCCUGUGAAAGAAAACUCUCUAGCACAUAGUUAUUUUCGUACCUGCUGCUUUGAGAACUGCUGCCAGUUUUGUAGAGCCCCUUCCAGCUGCUAUGUGAAGUGGAGUUGUCCCAUCGUAUGUAGUGCUGUCCACAUCUGCAUCACCCUAAGUGUUUAUUGAAUGACAAAAAGAAAAGUGCUACUCAUCUAUACAGUACAGCUGCACAAACACAGCUACUGUGCAAAUAAGCACCACUGCACACCUGUGUGCAGAAAAACUCCACUCACUGCCUGAACAGAAGGAACUGGAAACUAAACCACAAGUGUCUGCUGCAGAAACAGUGGGUAGUUGUGGGCACAGCAGGAGGCACAACCUAUCGACCCAAAGAGGUCACUUUGCACCCCAUGGCAUAGUUCUGCCAGCUGCUCACCUGCAGCACAGGCAGCCUGAACUGGUGUGCAGGGAAGCCUGUCCCUGCUGCACUGUAGGAGAGCAGGCAGGCCGCUGGCAUGCCCCUGCAGGGAUGCAGAGGAAAGCUACUGCAGCCAGCUGUCGGUGUGUAGAAUUAAGCACAUCGAGAUCAAAGUGUUAAGAAGUGAGACAAGCAUUUAUAGGUAUACACAACUCUCUCUGCACAUCUUUAUGCACAGAUUAAGUGAUUAAUUUGUUCAUGAGUGGUUUCACUGGCUGCUGGCAUUACUCAGGGCAAACUGAAACACAGCACAGGUGGUCAGGUGAGGGUCACAGACUGCAGAUUCCUCACCUUGGGCAAAAUGUUCCCUGGCAGUGGUGAAGUAGCAAUAAUGAAUAAUAGUAGCAAUAAUUUUGUCACACCAGUUUAAGUAAUCAUGUCAAUAAACAGGAAAAAAAAAACUUA
Pogoniulus pusillus (Red-fronted tinkerbird) is the source of this 5956-nucleotide long non-coding RNA. RefSeq lists it as uncharacterized. The transcript has 5 exons. NCBI's taxonomy places the organism in Eukaryota, Metazoa, Chordata, Aves, Piciformes, Lybiidae. The record is from RefSeq and is a predicted model, not a curated record.